This 400-nucleotide ribosomal RNA is filed under the name uncultured bacterium. RNAcentral's name for it is "bacterial SSU rRNA". It matches the Rfam family "Bacterial small subunit ribosomal RNA", at positions 359 to 776 of the family's 1533-position model. The record is from RNAcentral.
GAAUAUUGGACAAUGGGCGAAAGCCUGAUCCGGCACUGCCGCGUGAGUGAUGAAGGCCUUAGGGUUGUAAAGCUCUUUUACCAGGGAUGAUAAUGACAGUACCUGGAGAAUAAGCUCCGGCUAACUCCGUGCCAGCAGCCGCGGUCAUACGGAGGGAGCUAGCGUUGUUCGGAAUUACUGGGCGUAAAGCGGGCGUAGGCGGCUUUGUAAGUUAGAGGUGAAAGCCCGGGGCUCAACCCCGGAACUGCCUUUAAGACUGCAGAGCUAGAGUCUUGGAGAGGUGAGUGGAAUUCCGAGUGUAGAGGUGAAAUUCGUAGAUAUUCGGAAGAACACCAGUGGCGAAGGCGACUCACUGGACAAGUACUGACGCUGAGGUGCGAAAGCGUGGGGAGCAAACAGG